This is a long non-coding RNA of Drosophila sulfurigaster albostrigata, 3115 nucleotides long. RefSeq lists it as uncharacterized. Lineage: Eukaryota; Metazoa; Arthropoda; Insecta; Diptera; Drosophilidae. The transcript is spliced from 2 exons. The record is from RefSeq and is a predicted model, not a curated record.
CACAAUUUUUUGCAUACUAUUUACUGAAUUAAUGCAGCAGAAGUUAAACAGCAAGUGCCAGGUACAUGUUAAUUACAUGUUUAAUUAACAUUUAGAUUCAACUUACAGCAAUUUAUAUUAUUUUUUGUUUAAAUUUCGUAUUAAAUCGCGACUUAUGCAAACCAUGAAAACCAAAUUAACCUUGACUUUGAAAAUUAAAACAACAACACACAUACUGGCGCGUAUACAUACAUGUAUGUAUGUGUGCAGUAUAUAAAACAAACAACGCAAAGUAAAGCAAACAAACAAACCGCGAAAAUAAGCAAAAGACGAAUACGAAUGUUGAAAAAAAUAAGUAAAAACAAAAUCAAAAUGACUAAACGAUGUGUAAAACCUGAAGUUUGAGUAGCUGUGUGUGAAGUGGGCGCGUCGUUGGGGCGGGGCACGGGGGCAGAAGUAUCCAAAGGUGGUUAACAGCAGAUAAACAGUUUUUAUGUUUAGCUUUGCUUUACUUGUUUGUCAUGCAUUUUACAUUUUUACAUGUGUAAAAUGCGAGUUGGGAUAAUAAUAAUGCUGUUUUGUAUUAUCGUUGGGUUCACUGCUGAUUCUGAUAUAUUAUAUUAGCACUACAUGAGCUUUUCUGAUUUCAAUAUGUAUGUAUGAAGUGUAUAUAGUUGAACCACAAUUAUAGUUGCACACAUUCUAACAGCAGACAACUGUAUAAAUAUAGAAUAUGCAACAAUCACUCAUAACAAUUACGAGCGCGCCAAGUCGUAAACAAAAACAACAUUCUGAUGAAUUAAAAACAACUUGUAUACAUGCUGGGCGCAAGAAUGGUGAAGGGAAGAAAGAGGGAGAGCAUGAAGCCCCAGUUGUCAUAUUCGUGUUCUUAUUGCGAUAACGGCAUACAAGAGAUCAACAUAGAAAUACAAGCGACUCCCCCCCACACAAGCCGCAACAUAACAAUAACAAGUGACUGAGUGGGUGAGUGAGAGAGAGAGAGACACACACAUACUUUAAUGCACACGCCAUUGCGCCCAGCACGAAAACAAUGCGAGAGCAAAGAGCGAGGGUAGAGAGCGAGUGCGAAUGCGUUUCAACAAAACUAACUGUUGCUGCAUUUUUGGUCUUCGCCUGUAUGUUUACCCUUUGGUUGACCUUGAAAGCUUUUUUUCGUUGCCGAAGCCGAGACUUGUUUAUGUACAGACUGCAGUUGUUAUUGUGGCUCCUGGUGGUUGCAUUUUCAAUGUCAUGCAAAGAAUAACAGAAAAACAACCAGCACCUGGUUUGUUCUCGCUCUUGCAUACCCUCUUUACUCUUAACUCCCCACUCUUCGCUUCGCAUGCACAGACUUCGUUCGCUGGAACUUUGUUUUUGUUGUGCACUUUUUUUUUCUACUUUUUAAGCCUUUGGUUUUGUAUGUUGUUUUGUUAUUAUUCGUCGCCGGCUUCAUAUCAAGUGUCUGGCCAUGACGUAAUCUUAAAGCAUGUGCAGAGCGUUUAAUUUAGAAGGGGUGGACAGGCGGGUGAUGAGAGGCACGUCUACUUACAAAUGUGUGUGAGUGAGUGAAUGACUGAGAGAGUCUGUGUAAAGACACUACUAUCCCGCAUUGUUGACUUUUAAAAAGCAAAAGCUCAAAUACUCGUACAUAAUUCGCAACCCACGACAAUUAACCGACAUUGAUUUUGAAGGCAGCCAGACGUUGUUGACGCGAAAGAUGUGCUUGUGUAUGUGUAAGUGUAGGUGUGAGCUGUUGUUGUUUAUUUUCUGUCAUAACCCAUUCAUAAGCGAAAGUCUGUUAAGCCGCCCCACACUCACACACAUGCACACGUUCGUGGAGCAUAUCUUACUCUGUUAAACUAGAAAAGACCAGUAGCAAAUAGAGAGAGAGAGAGCGAACGCGCGAGAAUGAGAGCAAGAGCAGCAGACCAUAGACAAUGUUAAGGGCGCUUUUUGGUGGUGCUGCUGAGGCUGACUGCUAACCUCUGCUGCCUACGUGACGCAGCUCACACAAAUAAGAAUAGCCACUAGAAUCGCAAUAAUGUAAAUAUGUCUUAUAAUUUGAGUGAAUGCAAAACACAGCAGCAACAAUGUCAUACAAAUUGUAAACAACAACAAUGCGGAACAACACAAAGAGCAGCCACCUUUGAUGAAAUGCUAUAUGUACCAUAACACUUGUAAGUCUGCUUACACAUACUUUAAUACAUAGAAGUGUACAUAUGGAUGUUCUUACAUGUUGACAAGCGGAGAACCACACCCGCCAACACUUUUCGCUUUCUGGAAAGUGCGUGAAUACAAUGUAUGUAUGUAUGUAUUGAGUAUAAGCAGUUAGUCAGCAGUAGAAGGCUACGCAGCGCUGUUAGUUAACAGCAAAGGUCGUUUAAGUUCAUAACAGAGGCACAACUACAAACUACAAACCAAAUACAAAAGGGGAAGAUUAGUCAAAACAUGCUUAACAGCGACGCGACCACGCCUACUUGGCCAAACAGCUUAUCUAACAGAGUACUUUUUGGCUUUCUAUGUUCGCUUUGCGCUCGCUAGCUUGAUUUUUGUUGUGCUCACCUUUUUUCUGCUGUUACAUAUACUCACGCACACACACUUGUAUACUGUGAGUCUAGCGUAUAUGCUUUGCGCCGGUUUGGCACUCGCACACAAUUGCAAGCUGAUACCGUAUAUACAACUGCAUCUGUAUGUAUAUACUAGCGCUCUCCGCACACUCUUACACUAAUACACACACGCAUACAAUCACUCAGAAGUAUAUCGGACUGGGUUGGCCACAUGGCGGCUACGUUGUCGCCUUUCAGUUAAUUUUGAAGCGCCGGCCGCGACAGACGUUAACAGCGCCACGUGAAUUUUUUGUGCAUUAAUGAAAUUACUUGAACAAACUUCGAGGCACUUUUUGAAUCAUCAGCACAUAAUAUAAGCAAUACUAAUUCAUUCGACAAAAGCGGCUACUACGACGACGGUUUUCAAAGCGAUAGAGAGCAAAAAAGCACAACAAAGCUUUGACAAGUGCAAGUGCAAGCAACAACAACAACGACGACAACUUAUGUGCUUUUCGUUUUACAGUACUACAAGGAUUAUGUGACUUUAGCAAAGAGAAACCCCAAAGCAAGGGCAAGAAAGAGAGUGAAAA